Amphimedon queenslandica is the source of this 381-nucleotide long non-coding RNA. RefSeq lists it as uncharacterized. The record is from RefSeq and is a predicted model, not a curated record. The transcript is spliced from 4 exons. NCBI's taxonomy places the organism in Eukaryota, Metazoa, Porifera, Demospongiae, Haplosclerida, Niphatidae.
AAGCCACGUGGUGCUGCUGGUGCAAAACACUGAAAACAGAAGAGUAUGAACCAGUUAAGAGAUAUAAUCAUUCCACAGCAAGAAUAGAUGACUGGAAUUGUCAGUUGUUGGAGCAUAAAGUAGUCUCUGGGGGCGGGGCAAUACUAAGCAAGUCGUGACCAUCCGCUGGAUAUUGAGGACUAUUAUGCAAUGCCAAACAAAGGAGAGGUGGACGUCAACACUAGGUUGGGUGUCAAGACUAGGUUGUUGCAUUUUAUUGAUUAUUGGGAGGAGAUUGACUUUUUUGGGAAAGUUUGUUAUUUUAGAGAGCUGUUUCUGAUUACAAUUGGAUUUUUAUAAAUAUUUUUAAAGCUGCUCCAAAAGUUGGCCAAUGUGUACAGG